Molecule: ribosomal RNA, 460 nt
Filed under: uncultured bacterium
Lineage: Bacteria
Description: partial 16S ribosomal RNA
Rfam family: Bacterial small subunit ribosomal RNA
Source: RNAcentral
CCUACGGGUGGCAGCAGUGAGGAAUAUUGGUCAAUGGACGAGAGUCUGAACCAGCCAAGUAGCGUGAAGGAUGACUGCCCUAUGGGUUGUAAACUUCUUUUAUAUGGGAAUAAAACGUUCCACGUGUGGGAUUUUGUAUGUACCAUAUGAAUAAGGAUCGGCUAACUCCGUGCCAGCAGCCGCGGUAAUACGGAGGAUCCGAGCGUUAUCCGGAUUUAUUGGGUUUAAAGGGGGCGUAGGUGGAUUGUUAAGUCAGUUGUGAAAGUUUGCGGCUCAACCGUAAAAUUGCAGUUGAAACUGGCAGUCUUGAGUACAGUAGAGGUGGGCGGAAUGCGUGGUGUAGCGGUGAAAUGCUUAGAUAUCACGAAGAACUCCGAUUGCGAAGGCAGUUCACUGGACUGCAACUGACACUGAGGCUCGAAAGUGUGGGUAUCAAACAGGAUUAGAUACCCCUGUAGUC